RNAcentral lists this ribosomal RNA (289 nucleotides) under uncultured bacterium. Its description in RNAcentral is "partial 16S ribosomal RNA". It matches the Rfam family "Bacterial small subunit ribosomal RNA", at positions 337 to 624 of the family's 1533-position model. The record is from RNAcentral.
ACCUACGGGGGGCAGCAGUGAGGAAUAUUGGUCAAUGGUCGGGAGACUGAACCAGCCAAGCCGCGUGAGGGAGGAAGGUACAGAGUAUCGUAAACCUCUUUUGUCAGGGAACAAAGACUGGGACGCGUCCCCGGAUGAGUGUACCUGAAGACAAAGCAUCGGCUAACUCCGUGCCAGCAGCCGCGGUAAUACGGAGGAUGCGAGCGUUAUCCGGAUUUAUUGUGUUUAAAGGGUGCGCAGGCGGUCUGUUAAGUCAGCGGUAAAAUUGCGGGGCUCAACCCCGUCCAGC